Molecule: long non-coding RNA, 233 nt
Filed under: Salvia miltiorrhiza (redroot sage)
Lineage: Eukaryota; Viridiplantae; Streptophyta; Magnoliopsida; Lamiales; Lamiaceae
Description: long non-coding RNA (SMIL_LNC009741)
Source: RNAcentral
UGUCAAAGAAAGAGCCCCGACCGGUGAUACGCCGUCGCCGAGGCCCUGAAAUAAACCUCCAAGAAGGCUCAUUCUCUGCAGCAUCCUCAAGAACCAGGUGGUGCGAGUUAAGAGGAUCACAGCCGGUGAUACGCCGUCGCCGAGAUCACUCCCCCCAUCACACGAAUAGAGGUCAGGAGAGAUAGUCAAAACGGCCGGUGAGAUGCCGUUGCCGAAGACUCUUCCAUCCCAAC